This 1398-nucleotide ribosomal RNA is filed under the name uncultured bacterium. RNAcentral describes it as "16S ribosomal RNA". It matches the Rfam family "Bacterial small subunit ribosomal RNA". The record is from RNAcentral.
UUCGCCCUUAGAGUUUGAUCCUGGCUCAGGACGAACGCUGGCGGCGUGCCUAACACAUGCAAGUCGAACGGAACUGCAAGGAACAAGACUUCGGUCAAGUGAAUUGUACGUUUAGUGGCGGACGGGUGAGUAACGCGUGAGCAAUCUGCCUUUCAGAGGGGGAUAACAUUCUGAAAAGAAUGCUAAUACCGCAUAAUGUGCACAGUUGGCAUCGACAGUGCACCAAAGGAGCAAUCCGCUGAAAGAUGAGCUCGCGUCCGAUUAGAUAGUUGGCGGGGUAACGGCCCACCAAGUCAACGAUCGGUAGCCGGACUGAGAGGUUGAACGGCCACAUUGGGACUGAGACACGGCCCAGACUCCUACGGGAGGCAGCAGUGGGGAAUAUUGCACAAUGGGCGAAAGCCUGAUGCAGCAACGCCGCGUGAGGGAAGACGGUCUUCGGAUUGUAAACCUUUGUCCUUGGUGACGAAAAAAAUGACGGUAGCCGAGGAGGAAGCCACGGCUAACUACGUGCCAGCAGCCGCGGUAAUACGUAGAGUGGCAAGCGUUGUCCGGAAUUACUGGGUGUAAAGGGAGCGCAGGCGGGGGAGCAAGUCAGCUGUGAAAUAUACGGGCUUAACUCGUAGACUGCAGUUGAAACUGUUCUUCUUGAGUGAAGUAGAGGUAGGCGGAAUUCCGAGUGUAGCGGUGAAAUGCGUAGAGAUUCGGAGGAACACCAGUGGCGAAGGCGGCCUACUGGGCUUUAACUGACGCUGAGGCUCGAAAGUGUGGGGAGCAAACAGGAUUAGAUACCCUGGUAGUCCACACUGUAAACGAUGAUUGCUAGGUGUGGGGGGGUCUGACCCCUUCCGUGCCGCAGUUAACGCAAUAAGCAAUCCACCUGGGAAGUACGACCGCAAGGUUGAAACUCAAAGGAAUUGACGGGGGCCCGCACAAGCAGUGGAUUAUGUGGUUUAAUUCGAAGCAACGCGAAGACCCUUACCAGGUCUUGACAUCGAGUGACGAGUUCAGAGAUGAGCUUUUCCUUCGGGACACGAAGACAGGUGGUGCAUGGUUGUCGUCAGCUCGUGUCGUGAGAUGUUGGGUUAAGUCCCGCAACGAGCGCAACCCCUGCCAUUAGUUGCUACGCAAGAGCACUCUAAUGGGACCGCUACCGACAAGGUGGAGGAAGGUGGGGACGACGUCAAAUCAUCAUGCCCCUUAUGACCUGGGCUACACACGUAAUACAAUGGCCGUUAACAGAGGGAAGCAAAGCCGCGAGGUAGAGCAAAACCCUAAAAACGGUCUCAGUUCGGAUUGCAGGCUGCAACUCGCCUGUAUGAAGUCGGAAUUGCUAGUAAUCGCGGAUCAGCAUGCCGCGGUGAAUACGUUCCCGGGCCUUGCACACACCGCCCGUCA